Molecule: ribosomal RNA, 253 nt
Filed under: uncultured bacterium
Lineage: Bacteria
Description: partial 16S ribosomal RNA
Rfam family: Bacterial small subunit ribosomal RNA
Source: RNAcentral
UACGUAGGUGGCAAGCGUUGUCCGGAUUUACUGGGCGUAAAGAGCGCGCAGGCGGUCGUUCAAGUCGCGUGUGAAAGCCCCCGGCUCAACUGGGGAGGGUCACGCGAUACUGAUCGACUCGAAGGCAGGAGAGGGUAGUGGAAUUCCCGGUGUAGUGGUGAAAUGCGUAGAUAUCAGGAGGAACACCGGUGGCGAAGGCGGGUCUCUGGGCCGAUACUGACGCUGAGGAGCGAAAGCGUGGGGAGCAAACAGG